RNAcentral lists this ribosomal RNA (236 nucleotides) under uncultured bacterium. RNAcentral's name for it is "partial 16S ribosomal RNA". It matches the Rfam family "Bacterial small subunit ribosomal RNA", at positions 100 to 334 of the family's 1533-position model. The record is from RNAcentral.
CGGCACGGGUGCGUAACGCGUAACCAACCUGCCCUUGACUGGGGGAUAGCCCGCCGAAAGGCGGAUUAAUACCGCAUAAACCAACAGUGCGGCAUCGCACAAUUGGUAAAGAUUUAUUGGUCAAGGAUGGGGUUGCGCAGCAUUAGCUAGUUGGCGGGGUAACGGCCCACCAAGGCGACGAUGCUUAGGGGACCUGAGAGGGUGAUCCCCCACACUGGCACUGAGAUACGGGCCAG